GCAGAGAAUUUAUUUUUUGCCUUUCUGCUCCUGACCUUUGCUGCAGGGAGCUGAACGGUGCAGUCAUCACUCCAUCCCUAUGCAGCUUUUAGAAAACCUCUGCCAACUCCCUGCUGAGCCGGGAUGCUCUGCCUCGGGCUGUGACCCCGGGAGGGAGCACAAACACAGAGCCAUCUUCUGCUGAGAAGUCUUUGACUGAACAGUCAGUUCUACAUCUGGGCCCCCAUCUGUUACCGAACACCUCAAUAACCUUUCACGACGUAAGUAUUCUCCUUUCCCRCGCGCGGGCUCAGGCGUUAUUCCCCAUAC
This 309-nucleotide long non-coding RNA is filed under the name Dromaius novaehollandiae (emu). Its description in RNAcentral is "lncRNA (ENSDNVG00000014625.1)". Lineage: Eukaryota; Metazoa; Chordata; Aves; Casuariiformes; Dromaiidae. The record is from RNAcentral.